RNAcentral lists this ribosomal RNA (477 nucleotides) under uncultured bacterium. RNAcentral's name for it is "bacterial SSU rRNA". It matches the Rfam family "Bacterial small subunit ribosomal RNA", at positions 28 to 500 of the family's 1533-position model. The record is from RNAcentral.
GAUGAACGCUAGCGACAGGCCUAACACAUGCAAGUCGAGGGGCAGCACAAGGAGCAAUCUGAGGUGGCGACCGGCGCACGGGUGAGUAACACGUAUGCAACCUGCCUGUAAGCGGGGAAUAACCCGUUGAAAGACGGACUAAUACCGCAUAAUACUAAAUUACUGCAUGGUAAUUUAUUUAAACAUUUAUGGCUUACAGAUGGGCAUGCGCAUGAUUAGCUAGUUGGAGAGGUAACGGCUCCCCAAGGCAACGAUCAUUAGGGGUUCUGAGAGGAAGGUCCCCCACACUGGUACUGAGACACGGACCAGACUCCUACGGGAGGCAGCAGUGAGGAAUAUUGGUCAAUGGGCGCAAGCCUGAACCAGCCAUGUCGCGUGCAGGAAGACUGCCCUAUGGGUUGUAAACUGCUUUUAUAGUAGAAGAAACACAUCUACGAGUAGAUGUCUGCCAGUAUACUAUGAAUAAGCAUCGGCUAA